GGCUCAGAUUGAACGCUGGCGGCAGGCCUAACACAUGCAAGUCGAGCGGUAGCACAGAGAGCUUGCUCUCGGGUGACGAGCGGCGGACGGGUGAGUAAUGUCUGGGAAACUGCCUGAUGGAGGGGAAUAACUACUGGAAACGGUAGCUAAUACCGCAUAACGUCGCAAGACCAAAGUGGGGGACCUUCGGGCCUCAUGCCAUCAGAUGUGCCCAGAUGGGAUUAGCUAGUAGGUGGGGUAACGGCUCACCUAGGCGACGAUCCCUAGCUGGUCUGAGAGGAUGACCAGCCACACUGGAACUGAGACACGGUCCAGACUCCUACGGGAGGCAGCAGUGGGGAAUAUUGCACAAUGGGCGCAAGCCUGAUGCAGCCAUGCCGCGUGUAUGAAGAAGGCCUUCGGGUUGUAAAGUACUUUCAGCGGGGAGGAAGGCGAUAAGGUUAAUAACCUUGUCGAUUGACGUUACCCGCAGAAGAAGCACCGGCUAACUCCGUGCCAGCAGCCGCGGUAAUACGGAGGGUGCAAGCGUUAAUCGGAAUUACUGGGCGUAAAGCGCACGCAGGCGGUCUGUCAAGUCGGAUGUGAAAUCCCCGGGCUCAACCUGGGAACUGCAUUCGAAACUGGCAGGCUAGAGUCUUGUAGAGGGGGGUAGAAUUCCAGGUGUAGCGGUGAAAUGCGUAGAGAUCUGGAGGAAUACCGGUGGCGAAGGCGGCCCCCUGGACAAAGACUGACGCUCAGGUGCGAAAGCGUGGGGAGCAAACAGGAUUAGAUACCCUGGUAGUCCACGCCGUAAACGAUGUCGAUUUGGAGGUUGUGCCCUUGAGGCGUGGCUUCCGGAGCUAACGCGUUAAAUCGACCGCCUGGGGAGUACGGCCGCAAGGUUAAAACUCAAAUGAAUUGACGGGGGCCCGCACAAGCGGUGGAGCAUGUGGUUUAAUUCGAUGCAACGCGAAGAACCUUACCUGGUCUUGACAUCCACAGAACUUAGCAGAGAUGCUUUGGUGCCUUCGGGAACUGUGAGACAGGUGCUGCAUGGCUGUCGUCAGCUCGUGUUGUGAAAUGUUGGGUUAAGUCCCGCAACGAGCGCAACCCUUAUCCUUUGUUGCCAGCGGUUAGGCCGGGAACUCAAAGGAGACUGCCAGUGAUAAACUGGAGGAAGGUGGGGAUGACGUCAAGUCAUCAUGGCCCUUACAACCAGGGCUACACACGUGCUACAAUGGCAUAUACAAAGAGAAGCGACCUCGCGAGAGCAAGCGGACCUCAUAAAGUAUGUCGUAGUCCGGAUUGGAGUCUGCAACUCGACUCCAUGAAGUCGGAAUCGCUAGUAAUCGUAGAUCAGAAUGCUACGGUGAAUACGUUCCCGGGCCUUGUACACACCGCCCGUCACACCAUGGGAGUGGGUUGCAAAAGAAGUAGGUAGCUUAACCUUCGGGAGGGCGCUUACCACUUUGUGAUU
This 1456-nucleotide ribosomal RNA is filed under the name uncultured organism. Its description in RNAcentral is "16S ribosomal RNA". It matches the Rfam family "Bacterial small subunit ribosomal RNA". The record is from RNAcentral.